AUCGUCUUCAUAUCGCCAUGCCU
This 23-nucleotide non-coding RNA is filed under the name Arabidopsis thaliana (thale cress). The record is from RNAcentral. Lineage: Eukaryota; Viridiplantae; Streptophyta; Magnoliopsida; Brassicales; Brassicaceae.